Long non-coding RNA from Homo sapiens (human), 2259 nucleotides. Ensembl annotates it as long intergenic non-protein coding RNA 343. NCBI's taxonomy places the organism in Eukaryota, Metazoa, Chordata, Mammalia, Primates, Hominidae. The record is from Ensembl.
AGAGGCACUUGGCUCACCCUAGAUCAAGAGGAGAGGCUCUCCAGAUUUGCUGACCUAGAAGGAUAAGUCUGAAAGUAGGAGGGUGGGGAGAGCCAGAUGAACAAGGGAGGUGAAAACGUGAUCUAGGGAGGCAUCCGAGUGAGCAAAGGCACGAGUGAGCCUGGUACACUUCUGGGCAGGCAGAAGGAAGGCAGUUAGGCUGUUAGGAAGGCAGUUAGGCUGCAGUGAAUUCUACAAAGAGGCUAUGGGAAAGAAACCUGGAAAGUACCCUUGGCUGUGUACAUUUGAGUAAAGAGAGCACUAUAAAAUCAAAAACCAAUGAAAUGGUUUCCAGAACACAGAACUAUUAAGCUUAAGAAAAGGACAGAAGGAACUGAAGAGAGAGGAACUGUUUUGGAGCAUCACACUUCCACCUCAGAAGAAAUAAGGAAGGAAGGAGGAGGGUGUUCCCACGGCUCUUCAACCAGGCCGGCUCUUCAGCCUACAUCCCCAUCUCAUCAAGUAAAAGGGAUUUUUCAACUGGACCAACCAGAUGGUUUAACAGUGCACUCCCACACCAUUCAACUACGCAAGGGAGAUACACUUAACAUAUGCAGUCGUAUAACACCUACUAACAUUUUCAAACAUUAAACCUUUAAAAAAGAGUUCUAAAGAAAUAGAAGCUUGAAGUAUCAUCUCUCAAGUAUAUAGACACUACUUCAUGGUGUGGUAAUAUAUGCAUAUAGAAGCUAGUAAACACCUCCAGGAGAUGCAAAAGGAAUUAGAACUGCCACAAGGUGCAAGCAAAACCUUGAGGUAAUCAAUCUGCAUCCCAUUUUGGAUGAGAAUAUUUGCAACUUUGAAGGUUAUUUUAAGGACAGCAGCAGAAGAAUUAUGGCAGGUAUCUGAAAUUCAUUUCUGUGCUUUGCCGAGGACCCAUGGGAUGCCAUUUGCAGAUGAGAAAACUAAAGAAUAGCUUUAUCUUCCAGCUCUUCACGGAAAAAAAAAUGGCAACAAUAAAAUCAGCAACUCCUGCCAAAUAAAUGGGCAUAAAAAAGAAAUCAUAGACUGCUGGCAAUGGUGGGGAAAAAGUUAUAAAAAUUGUCUCUGCACCAUCUUCCUUUUGUCCUCUAAAAUAUUCACAUUAGCAAAAGUAUAUAACAGCUGAUGAAGAAAUACUGAUAAUUUGUCUUUGUAAGUAUAUCGAAAACAUUUCAAGAUCUAGAAAUUUGAAAUUGUUGACAAGUAUUUAUCUGUUUAUUCACAAAUUUGAAAUCAACCUCAGGAAUGCUCAUUCUGAUUGAUAUACUUAGGUCAUAAAUUUUUAAGACCACAGAUUUCCAGGGACUUUUUGGAAAAUCACCCAGUAAAACAAUGUCUUUUUGCAGGGGACUAGCUUCAGUAUUUUGGCUUCUUUUUGCUUCUUUGCAACAAAUUGGGAGACAAAGGUGGGAAAGUUUUUUUCAAUAAGUUAAUAAUUUUUUAAAGGUCAAAAUUUUGUUCUUUGCUUAUAUUAGAAUUAAACACUGUGAGAUUCUCUCUGAGACCUUGUAUACUUUCUCUUUUAAAGAUAAUUUCACUGCAUGUAAUUUUUCGGGGAAUGACUCUCAGAGUUGUUGUCUGAAAGUACCUUGAUGUUUGGAUAUUGGUUUGUUUGGAUGAACAACAAAAGGAAUCAGUAAGAGAAGUUAUUAUAAGAAAUAUAAAGCUAUUAUUAACAUUUCAAUGAAACCAAGUAGUCUGAAAAUUUUCACAGAUGACUGUAAUAGUUAGUGGGAUGACCUCACUGUUUUGCAUUAGGAAAUGUUAUGUAGCCUUUAAUUUAUUGAAUAUAACUAUUGCCUUAAUUUUAAUGAACAAUUAUAAAUACGUGAAUGAAAAAGGAACAAUUCUAUAUAUAACAAUUCUAGUUAUUAUUGCUCCAUAUAACAAUUCUAGUUAUUAUUGCUUAUUCUAUAUAACAAUUCUAGUUAUUAUUUCAUAUGGUCUAACAUGAAAGUCAACAGCAUAGACACAAGACAGAAAGCCCAUGUUUACAAACCAAAUACAUUAAAAAGAUUGUCGUUACAUAUCAGCAGAAGAAAAAUGCCCAAUGGCAGAUGAAGAGAAAUGCUAAUGAGAUUCCAUGAGCUAAAACCACCAUGACAAAUGUAAAUGAAUAGUACUAAGUGAUCCACAUGUUUAUUUCACCAAUUCUAUUUGCGAGAGAAUAAGUAGAAAAGUAACAUCCAAUUGCUGUCUUCCACAAGAAUAAAGAGGCUUGACGCUUAUUCCCAACCU